ACUAUUAAAAAUAUCCAUAUCUUAUUCAGAUAUUCAGUUAUGGUGCUGAGCUCAUAAGUAUCAGGGGUAUAGUGAAUACAAAUGAAAAUAGGCAAGCACGUUCAAGUGUUUUAUCUGUAUGCAAAAUUCAUGAAAUGUAGCACACAGCUAGAACAGCCCAACAUGUUUGUUUCCGAAACAUUAAGACUUCAUUGAAUUUUAUUGCAAUUAUUUGAGCUCAGGAGCCAAGUUCAUAUCUCAUCUUUCUUCUUCUAUUUCGGCAGUAAUCGGGUAAAUGAUUAGGAGGUACAUAGAAUUAAAGUCUAAUGGGUAAGGACACUAUUGUUGCUCUAGCCCCUUCCCUUCCCUAUCUGGAUCCUACUCCACGGCUGUAAGAAAACACAACUUUUCCUUAAAAAAAACUUUGCGCGACUUUCUCCAGUAAAAGCUUCACCUAUGUCAUGUUUGCUCUGUAGUUGCACUUCAACGUCUCCUAACUCAUACUCUUUGUAUUGUAAAGAAAAAACUCCACGCUUCGUCAACUCCUCCAGAUACUUAUAAUUGUGCAUCAAGCCUGUAACCUUUGCAUGAAUAAUUACAACAUAUACAAAAAAAUAACUUUUGUAAUGAUUGCCAUAUGUUGCAUCUCUUUCCACAUGGGAUUUUCUCUCGACCUUGUGUUGCCUCCCCUGUGCACAUGGUGUCCCAUCUCACAAUCGUAGAUACAUGUUGUGAAUUAGUAACAAUUCUUGUUUCACAUAUCAGAUGGACAUUGAAAGUUGCAACUUAUUUCUACAUUUCACUGUCAAUUAGCACAUCCAGGCACAAAUCUUCUGCAAGUGGAUGCUCACCGUAAAUUAACAACAUACUUGAGUUGCGGUUUGGACUUCUAACUGCAAUUGCAAGCUAAAAAUUGAAUUGUAUAGCAAACAGACCUUUUCUCGGCAUACAUCACAUUUUCAUGUAUCCGUACAAAUUCUGACUCAAGCUGUAGCUUGAACAUUAUCUUUGCAGGGCUCAGGCGGCUCCUGACCAUCUACAGCUUGAAAGACUAAUUCACAAGGAGGAAGACUGAAAGUACUUGUACUGAUCUACACAUAUGUUUACAAGAUUAUAUGGCGUAUAUUAUCUCUGCUGCUGUCGAUGUCGACAUCAAGGUUGAUGCCAGAGGAGAGGCACUGAAGGAAUGCACGCCAGCGGGCGCAUCAGACUCCUUACAUUGGCUUCGCAAUCGCAAGACAUGCGAGCGUUGGAGCCGAUAACUACAAAAUUUGAAAGAUAAGACGAUUGUGCUGAUGCCAGAUCUCCGAAAUUACCAGGACGACGAGCAUUCUCCAAUACAUAUUAUCAUAUCCAUCCUUAAUAGAACUGCUCCUUUCCUUGGAACAGCUGUAGAAGACAAAAUAAUAUAUUAUGCUACCUUUCUUCCAAGUAUUCAACAUUGCUCAUUGUGUGCCAGUAUAUUAGGCACACCAAACUUAAAUGAGAAGAUAAAUGGCAGC
Molecule: long non-coding RNA, 1481 nt
Organism: Aegilops tauschii subsp. strangulata
Lineage: Eukaryota; Viridiplantae; Streptophyta; Magnoliopsida; Poales; Poaceae
Source: RefSeq, a predicted model, not a curated record